This 400-nucleotide long non-coding RNA is filed under the name Gossypium raimondii (Peruvian cotton). Its description in RNAcentral is "long non-coding RNA (GRAI_LNC009341)". Lineage: Eukaryota; Viridiplantae; Streptophyta; Magnoliopsida; Malvales; Malvaceae. The record is from RNAcentral.
AAAAUAAAGGAAAAUAAAUGGAUUAGGGAAAAAUCAAGAAGAAUGAAAAGAAGAGAAAGAUGGAAAAACUCAGAGAAUUUCGGCAAGAGGAGAGGGAGAAGAAUAGACGGCAAAAUUUUUUUGGAAAAGAGAGUCAAAAUUCGGUUAUGGGAAAAAAAUAAAAUAAAAUCUCAAUAACCCCGAAAAUCCCUUAAUCUUCUCCCCUAAUUCCCACUACACAUCCACUACUCAGAAUCCCCCUAUUGCACAACUCUAUCCUGAAAUCUAAGCAAAAAAAAAAAAAUCCCCUUCCCUGAAAUCAAAUAAAAGCCUACUGAACAAGAGUAAGACCUAAUUCAUUCAAAAUACCAAAAUUUUCCCAAUCGAAGGCUUGAACUUGGGACCUCCCAAACACUCCCAG